This 628-nucleotide ribosomal RNA is filed under the name Dyella sp. IBb326. RNAcentral's name for it is "bacterial SSU rRNA". It matches the Rfam family "Bacterial small subunit ribosomal RNA", at positions 381 to 1000 of the family's 1533-position model. The record is from RNAcentral. Lineage: Bacteria; Pseudomonadati; Pseudomonadota; Gammaproteobacteria; Lysobacterales; Rhodanobacteraceae.
GCCUGAUCCAGCAAUGCCGCGUGUGUGAAGAAGGCCUUCGGGUUGUAAAGCACUUUUAUCAGGAGCGAAAUACUGCCGGCUAAUACCCGGCGGGGCUGACGGUACCUGAGGAAUAAGCACCGGCUAACUUCGUGCCAGCAGCCGCGGUAAUACGAAGGGUGCAAGCGUUAAUCGGAAUUACUGGGCGUAAAGCGUGCGUAGGCGGUUCUUUAAGUCUGCUGUGAAAUCCCCGGGCUCAACCUGGGAAUGGCAGUGGAUACUGGAGAGCUAGAGUGUGAUAGAGGAUGGUGGAAUUCCCGGUGUAGCGGUGAAAUGCGUAGAGAUCGGGAGGAACAUCAGUGGCGAAGGCGGCCAUCUGGAUCAACACUGACGCUGAGGCACGAAAGCGUGGGGAGCAAACAGGAUUAGAUACCCUGGUAGUCCACGCCCUAAACGAUGCGAACUGGAUGUUGGUCUCAACUCGGAGAUCAGUGUCGAAGCUAACGCGUUAAGUUCGCCGCCUGGGGAGUACGGUCGCAAGACUGAAACUCAAAGGAAUUGACGGGGGCCCGCACAAGCGGUGGAGUAUGUGGUUUAAUUCGAUGCAACGCGAAGAACCUUACCUGGCCUUGACAUGUCUGGAAUCCUG